CCUACGGGUGGCAGCAGUGGGGAAUAUUGCACAAUGGGGGAAACCCUGAUGCAGCGACGCCGCGUGAGUGAAGAAGUCUUUCGGUAUGUAAAGCUCUAUCAGCAGGGAAGAAAAUGACGGUGCUUGUUUAAGUAGCCCUGGCCAAAUACGUGACAACAGCCGCGGUAAUACGUAGGGGGCAAGCGUUAUCCGGAUUUACUGGGGGUAACGGGAGCGUAGACGGCAGCACAAGUCUGGUGGGAAAUGCGCGGGCGUAACCCCGGAACUGCUUUGGAUACUGUGCAGCUAGAGUGCAGGAGAGGUAGGUAGAAUUCCUGGUGUAGCGGUGAAAUGCGUAGAGAUCAGGAGGAACACCGGUGGCGAAGGCGGCCUCCUGGACUGAAACUGACGUUGAGGUUCGAAAGCGUGGGGAGCAAACAGGAUUAGAUACCCCUGUAGUC
Molecule: ribosomal RNA, 440 nt
Filed under: uncultured bacterium
Lineage: Bacteria
Description: partial 16S ribosomal RNA
Rfam family: Bacterial small subunit ribosomal RNA
Source: RNAcentral